GUCAGUUAUGAAUUUGAAGUUAUUGAUUACACACUGAAAUUCAACUCUUGUGAUCCUCCCCCAUUCAAAGCUUAUCUUAUUCUUUAAAAGGGUGUCUUUAAGUUGCUUUCAUUCUCACAGGCUUGUUGCAAAAGCCUGCUUAUUGUCACUGACAUAUACAGAAAGGUCAGUCGAUGUUUGUAAUGAAGAUGUGCAUUUAUCAACGUAGGUUCCUUUCACCUCGUUUGCAGGAGGAAGGUAAACACAGGUUUCAGAAGUACAAACAUCACCACCCCCAGGCCCCCAUCCCCAAACAAACAAAAGUCUAGAUUGUAAAAUAUUUCUCUUCUACAGUUGUCAUCUACUGGUUAUAAAGAAAAUUGAUGUGGGCAUCCGCUGAUGUGGGCAUCCGCUCAUAUUCAAGCAGUAUCUGGAACAGAAGGCAACUUUCUCAAACAUUAUUGAUCCUCAAGGAACUUUGCACAGAGGGAAAUGCUGAAAGAGAUCUGGCUUGUACACCUGGGCCAGCAUAUUGCACAAAAACA
RNAcentral lists this long non-coding RNA (524 nucleotides) under Cyanistes caeruleus (blue tit). Its description in RNAcentral is "lncRNA (ENSCCEG00000013351.1)". Lineage: Eukaryota; Metazoa; Chordata; Aves; Passeriformes; Paridae. The record is from RNAcentral.